Molecule: ribosomal RNA, 449 nt
Filed under: uncultured bacterium
Lineage: Bacteria
Description: partial 16S ribosomal RNA
Rfam family: Bacterial small subunit ribosomal RNA
Source: RNAcentral
AACGAACGCUGGCGGCAGGCUUAACACAUGCAAGUCGAACGAGAUCUUCGGAUCUAGUGGCAGACGGGUGAGGAACACGUGGGAACAUCCCUUUCAGUUCGGAAUAACGUUGGGAAACUAACGCUAAUACCGGAUACGUCCUUCGGGAGAAAGAUUUAUCGCUGAAAGAUUGGCCCGCGUCUGAUUAGCUAGUUGGUGAGGUAACGGCUCACCAAGGCUACGAUCAGUAGCUGAUCUGAGAGGAUGAUCAGCCACAUUGGGACUGAGACACGGCCCAAACUCAUACGGGAGGCAGCAGUGGGGAAUAUUGGACAAUGGGCGCAAGCCUGAUCCAGCCAUGCCGCGUGAGUGAUGACGGCCUUCGGGUUGUAAAGCUCUUUUGUCCGGGAAGGUAAUGACUGUGCCGGAAGAAUAAGCCCCGGCAAACUUCGUGCCAGCCGCCGCCGUAA